This 494-nucleotide ribosomal RNA is filed under the name uncultured bacterium. RNAcentral describes it as "partial 16S ribosomal RNA". It matches the Rfam family "Bacterial small subunit ribosomal RNA", at positions 28 to 507 of the family's 1533-position model. The record is from RNAcentral.
GACGAACGCUGGCGGCGUGCUUAACACAUGCAAGUCGAACGGUGAAGCGCCUUCCUUUUUGGUGGGUGUGGAUGAGUGGCGAACGGGUGAGUAACACGUGAGUAACCUGCCCCCUUCUUCUGGAUAACCGCAUGAAAGUGUGGCUAAUACGGGAUAUUCUGGGUCUGUCGCAUGAUGGGUCUGGGAAAGAUAUUGUUUUGGUGGGGGAUGGGCUCGCGGCCUAUCAGCUUGUUGGUGGGGUGAUGGCCUACCAAGGCGGUGACGGGUAGCCGGCCUGAGAGGGUGGACGGUCACACUGGGACUGAGACACGGCCCAGACUCCGACGGGAGGCAGCAGUGGGGAAUAUUGCACAAUGGGCGCAAGCCUGAUGCAGCGACGCCGCGUGAGGGAUGGAGGCCUUCGGGUUGUGAACCUCUUUCGCCAGUGAAGCAGGCCUGCCUCGUUUGUGGGUGGGUUGACGGUAGCUGGAUAAGAAGCGCCGGCUAACUACGUG